GUCUGCAGUGCACUGAAUCAGUCCUGAGCUCAGCCAGCUGCAGCUGACUCCAUACUGUCUGAAUUGCACUGAAUCAGUCCUGAGCUCAGCCAGCUGCAGCUGACUCCAUACUGUCUGAAUUGCACUGACUUAAAAAAAAAAAUAAAUAAAAAACUUAUAGAUGUAGGAUCUUGCAUGGAUGUUGCAGGGGAACUUUACUGCAAUGCAGGACUUUUUCAAAGUAUAGUGUAUUUGAGGUUUAAAAAGCUUCUGAUGUUUCUAAUUUCCACUUUGAAAUUUCAGACAUGAUUUUAUCUUAUGAUGAAAAAUGUAUCAACCCCU
Oncorhynchus tshawytscha (Chinook salmon) is the source of this 321-nucleotide long non-coding RNA. The record is from Ensembl. NCBI's taxonomy places the organism in Eukaryota, Metazoa, Chordata, Actinopteri, Salmoniformes, Salmonidae.